UACGUAGGGUGCGAGCGUUGUCCGGAAUUAUUGGGCGUAAAGAGCUUGUAGGUGGUUUGUCGCGUCUGCUGUGAAAAUCCGAGGCUCAACCUCGGACUUGCAGUGGGUACGGGCAGGCUAGAGUGUGGUAGGGGAGACUGGAAUUCCUGGUGUAGCGGUGGAAUGCGCAGAUAUCAGGAGGAACACCGAUGGCGAAGGCAGGUCUCUGGGCCAUUACUGACACUGAGAAGCGAA
Molecule: ribosomal RNA, 234 nt
Filed under: uncultured bacterium
Lineage: Bacteria
Description: partial 16S ribosomal RNA
Rfam family: Bacterial small subunit ribosomal RNA
Source: RNAcentral